RNAcentral lists this ribosomal RNA (442 nucleotides) under uncultured bacterium. RNAcentral's name for it is "bacterial SSU rRNA". It matches the Rfam family "Bacterial small subunit ribosomal RNA", at positions 354 to 796 of the family's 1533-position model. The record is from RNAcentral.
GUGAGGAAUAUUGCGCAAUGGACGGAAGUCUGACGCAGCAACGCCGCGUGCGGGAUGAAGGCCUUCUAGGUCGUAAACCGCUGUAGCAGGGGAAAAAUACUCCGUUCGACGGAGUUGAUGGUACCCUGAAAGUAAGCCUCGGCUAACUACGUGCCAGCAGCCGCGGUAAUACGUAGGAGGCAAGCGUUGUCCGGAUUUACUGGGUGUAAAGGGUCCGCAGGCGGACAUCUAAGUCGGUGGUGAAAUCCUUCAGCUUAACUGAAGAACUGCCUUCGAUACUGGAUGUCUUGAAUAUAGGAGAGGGUGACGGAAUUCCAGGUGUAGCGGUGAAAUGCUUAGAUAUCUGGAAGAACACCGGUUGCGAAGGCUGUUGCCUGGCCUAUUAUUGACGCUCAUGGACGAAAGCGUGGGGAUCAAACAGGAUUAGAAACCCGUGUAGUCC